UGCAAGUCGAGCGAACGGACGAGAAGCUUGCUUCUCUGAUGUUAGCGGCGGACGGGUGAGUAACACGUGGAUAACCUACCUAUAAGACUGGGAUAACUUCGGGAAACCGGAGCUAAUACCGGAUAAUAUUUUGAACCGCAUGGUUCAAAAGUGAAAGACGGUCUUGCUGUCACUUAUAGAUGGAUCCGCGCUGCAUUAGCUAGUUGGUAAGGUAACGGCUUACCAAGGCAACGAUGCAUAGCCGACCUGAGAGGGUGAUCGGCCACACUGGAACUGAGACACGGUCCAGACUCCUACGGGAGGCAGCAGUAGGGAAUCUUCCGCAAUGGGCGAAAGCCUGACGGAGCAACGCCGCGUGAGUGAUGAAGGUCUUCGGAUCGUAAAACUCUGUUAUUAGGGAAGAACAUAUGUGUAAGUAACUGUGCACAUCUUGACGGUACCUAAUCAGAAAGCCACGGCUAACUACGUGCCAGCAGCCGCGGUAAUACGUAGGUGGCAAGCGUUAUCCGGAAUUAUUGGGCGUAAAGCGCGCGUAGGCGGUUUUUUAAGUCUGAUGUGAAAGCCCACGGCUCAACCGUGGAGGGUCAUUGGAAACUGGAAAACUUGAGUGCAGAAGAGGAAAGUGGAAUUCCAUGUGUAGCGGUGAAAUGCGCAGAGAUAUGGAGGAACACCAGUGGCGAAGGCGACUUUCUGGUCUGUAACUGACGCUGAUGUGCGAAAGCGUG
This 725-nucleotide ribosomal RNA is filed under the name uncultured Staphylococcus sp. Its description in RNAcentral is "bacterial SSU rRNA". It matches the Rfam family "Bacterial small subunit ribosomal RNA", at positions 56 to 763 of the family's 1533-position model. The record is from RNAcentral. Lineage: Bacteria; Bacillati; Bacillota; Bacilli; Caryophanales; Staphylococcaceae.